ACAUGGCUCAUGCAUAAUCGUGGAAGGCAAGAGUAUUUGUUUCUUUCUAUUGUGAUAGAUUACACAUCAGGUCUCGUGUAAAUUUUGUUCGAGUUCAAAUUUGAGGCCUCAAUGCAGCAGCGGUCUGAUCGAAACCAGCUUUCUACAUCGACAAGCUCGAGCACGUAAACGAGAAGGAUAUUGAUCUUGAACAUAGUUACAAAACAAAUAGCUUUUUUAACUUGUAUCGAAUUGAAAAAUUAGGUGGCUUCCUUAAAUUUUAAGGCAAAACUCAUUCGAGUUUUCUUUCGGUCUAUGUAUCAUAUGUUUUGACUA
Non-coding RNA from Erythranthe guttata (spotted monkey flower), 315 nucleotides. NCBI's taxonomy places the organism in Eukaryota, Viridiplantae, Streptophyta, Magnoliopsida, Lamiales, Phrymaceae. The record is from RefSeq and is a predicted model, not a curated record.